Molecule: ribosomal RNA, 253 nt
Filed under: uncultured bacterium
Lineage: Bacteria
Description: partial 16S ribosomal RNA
Rfam family: Bacterial small subunit ribosomal RNA
Source: RNAcentral
UACGUAGGCAGCAAGCGUUGUUCGGAAUUACUGGGCGUAAAGAGUGUGUAGGCGGUGUUCUAAGUUUGUCGUGAAAUCUCCCGGCUUAACUGGGAGGGUGCGGCGAAAACUGGAAUGCUAGAGGAUGGGAGAGGUAAGCGGAAUUCCUGGUGUAGCGGUGAAAUGCGUAGAUAUCGGGAGGAACACCAGUGGCGAAGGCGGUUGCCUGGGGCUUUGCUGACGCUGAUGCGCGAAAGCGUGGGGAGCGAUCCGG